GCUCGAACCAGUAACGUAUAGAUUACAUGAAGACAACAUUAUUGUUGCUUCAAGGCUCCCCCUUAACGGAAAGAAUGAGGGUAGCUUCUCAACUCUCGUUUUAUAUAGUCUAUAAACAUACUCUCCGAUAUUCUUGUAUAUAUAAUCGAGAAAUUCACGAGGGUCAAUGAGGCUUACUAGUGUGACACUCGAUGAAUAAUGGACCCGACCCUCUACGACUUGUUGUAGUCUUGUUGUUUUUGAUGUUGAUUUACUAAAAUCUUGGCAUAUAGCAACUCAUUCCAAGCAUCAGGUACACCAGGGAGACACCAAUGACUACAAUCUUGAAACAACAAUGGAGAUUUCUUCUCUUCAGUUGUAAAUUUUUGUUUCCUAUAUACUGAUGGAUGACCAUCUUUUCGAAAAUCUGUCAUUCUUGUGAUGUUGAGAUAUGAGACUUGAGUUUUCAUCCCUUUUAGAACUCUUUCUAAAACAUUCAUCUUUGAUGGAUAUGGAGUUAGAUAUGUUGUGUUCUUGAUUGGUUCUGUUUCAUGGUCACAAGCUCCACCUGAAUUCCAUUGUCCGCCGCUAAAAUGAGACGCAGAGUAACCUCUGAAGAGAACAAAUGUUCUCUUAGGAUUUACAUGGGAAUCAACCCAUCUUCCCCAUGUUGUUAAAGCCUUUCGAAAUGCCUCAAGAACAUCUAAUUCGUUGUACACGUGACUUCCUUCUUGAUAAUAGUCCUUCCCCAAUGAAGUUUUCUCGUGUGUCCACCAGUGGCCGGUGUUGAAGAUUAAGAUAUCAGCAUUUUUAUAUUUAUCAGCAGACUGUCCGAUUAAAUCAAGUCGAAGUGUUUCCUUCUUCACUCCUUUUUUAUCUGAAUAUUCCCAUUCUUGAACCAAGAAUGGAGAUACAAAAAACUCCACUCUGAAAUUAUACUCCUCAAAUAGAAAUGAAUAUGAAGCCUCAGUCCUAAAAUGUUGUCUGCCAGAUUCUUCAUAAACCUUUUUCUGAUCUUUAACAGAGUUUCUAAGAAUGCAAACAAGGGAUUCCCACAUGUUUCUGUUGAGCGAAUCACCGACAAAUACCAAUCGCUUUCCUCUCAAUAAUUCCAGCAUAUGAGUUCCAUUCAAUCUUGGAAGAGUACAACCAUUUGGCUUCCAUUUCAUCUUCAUAUGAUUGUUAUCAGGUCUACCAUUGAGAAAACAGUUAAAUUGUUCAUCAAUCAAAGAACAAGAACCAGGCUUAUACAAAGGAUAAGACUCAUCUUUCACCCAAUUCCCAUCAAAGAAAUCACAAUUCAACAAAGACUUAACCAAAUCUUCAUCCUUCUUCUUCUUUGUAGACACAUCUAGAUUUGUACCAUCACUCUGGCUUUUCACAGAUGAGGAAGUGAAAUUACCCUUCACUCCCUUUUCUGCAAUUUCCUUCUCUUUACUCUCACUACCAGAUUUUGCUGUCUGAUUCACACUUGCUGAUGACUUCUCCAAUGGAUUUUUGCUCUGAUUUGCCUUCAAAUUUCCAACUUUAUCAUCAAAAUCUUUACUUUUAGGCUGAUUCUUUACACUUGAUGAUUCUUGAUUCAACCCAGAAGAGGAUUUUGGUGCUACUGCUGACACAUUCACAGUAGGCUUCGAGGGGCUUUUCAAGACUCCAUUUUUAUCAUCAAAAUCCUUACUUUUUGACUGAUUCUUCACACUAGAUGAUUCUUGAUUCAACCCAGAUGGAGAUAUUGAUCCUACUGCUGACACAUUCACAGAUGGCUUCAAGGGGUUCUC
Molecule: unclassified non-coding RNA, 1757 nt
Filed under: Hevea brasiliensis (rubber tree)
Lineage: Eukaryota; Viridiplantae; Streptophyta; Magnoliopsida; Malpighiales; Euphorbiaceae
Source: RNAcentral